CAGAGAAUAGUUUAAUUCAGAAUCCUAGCUUUGGGAGCUAGGGGUAGGAGUUAGAAUCUCCUUUUUCUGA
Molecule: transfer RNA, 70 nt
Filed under: Gempylus serpens (snake mackerel)
Lineage: Eukaryota; Metazoa; Chordata; Actinopteri; Scombriformes; Gempylidae
Description: tRNA-Pro
Rfam family: tRNA
About the family: Transfer RNA (tRNA) molecules are approximately 80 nucleotides in length.
Source: RNAcentral